CAGACAAUGGAUAAACAUAUCCCAGGCUCAGGGCCAAAAGGACUUUCAUUAACCUGCUUUUUUUCUUUCACAGGCACCUGCCAGGGUUUGCACAGAACCAAAAAUAAGGAAGCAAUGUUUCUUCUCAGAUCACAGGGCUGUAAACAGAACAAAUAUUAAGAAAUUAGAAAGGAAUCCGGAUGAGACACAAUAUUUAUGGAAGUCUCCUAGGCAAGUUACUUUUCCACCAGCUGCAUGGCUGUACCAUAAAUAUUUGAAACAGGAAGGUGUAAUAAGUCGCCUCCUGGCAGCUGAUGAGCAUCUACAAAUCCUCUUGCUGAUGUUGACAUGGAUUCCAAGACAGUGUGGAGCACCACUGUGGUUCUGGAUGAAUGGGUGUCUCCAUAGCCCUCAAAGUGCACUCUUUGACCCAGAAAGCUUAAACAGCAAGGAGAAGAACACGAAAUGUUGGCUGCUUUCCCAAGGUGGUAUCUGCUGCCUGAUCUAAGGUGUGACAAAUUAGCAGCUGUCUCCUCCAAGGACACUGUCAGACAAGCUUCCCAAGCUCAGCUCUCCCUCCCUCCUUCUCUUUGGAAAGGGAAACCAUCUGGGGGAUCCAGGUAACGAAAAAGGAUGUCGAGAACUUGACCCUUCAGAAGUGAUGACACAUUGCAUUGAAGAUGCAGAAUACAAAACGCGGAAUGCAAAUUGCAGAAUGCAGAAUGCAAUUUUGGGGGGA
RNAcentral lists this long non-coding RNA (718 nucleotides) under Salvator merianae (Argentine black and white tegu). RNAcentral describes it as "lncRNA (ENSSMRG00000022254.1)". Lineage: Eukaryota; Metazoa; Chordata; Lepidosauria; Squamata; Teiidae. The record is from RNAcentral.